GACGAACGCUGGCGGCGUGCUUAACACAUGCAAGUCGAACGGAAAGGCCCCUUUGGGGGUCCUCGAGUGGCGAACGGGUGAGUAACACGUGAGUAACCUGCCCUUGACUUCGGGAUAACUUCAGGAAACUGGGGCUAAUACCGGAUAGGAAUCCUUGCUGCAUGGUGGGGGUUGGAAAGCUUCGGCGGUUUUGGAUGGACUCGCGGCUUAUCAGCUUGUUGGUGGGGUAGUGGCUUACCAAGGCUUUGACGGGUAGCCGGCCUGAGAGGGCGACCGGCCACAUUGGGACUGAGGUACGGCCCAGACUCCUACGGGAGGCAGCAGUGGGGAAUAUUGCACAAUGAGCGGAAGCCGGAUGCAGCAGCGCCGCGUGCGGGAUGACGGGCUUGGGGUUGUAAACCGCUUUCAGCAGGGGCGGAGCUUGUAGUGACGGUACCUGCAGAAGAAGCAACGGCUAACUACGUG
Molecule: ribosomal RNA, 465 nt
Filed under: uncultured bacterium
Lineage: Bacteria
Description: partial 16S ribosomal RNA
Rfam family: Bacterial small subunit ribosomal RNA
Source: RNAcentral